Molecule: ribosomal RNA, 1110 nt
Filed under: uncultured Planctomycetales bacterium
Lineage: Bacteria; Pseudomonadati; Planctomycetota; Planctomycetia; Planctomycetales
Description: bacterial SSU rRNA
Rfam family: Bacterial small subunit ribosomal RNA
Source: RNAcentral
UAGAGUUUGAUCCUGGCUCAGAUUGAACGCUGGCGGCAUGGCUAAGGCAUGCAAGUCGUGCGGGCCAAGUAGCAAUAUUUGGUCAGCGGCGGACGGGUGAGUAAUACAUAGACAACGUACCUUGAACACGAGGAUAACGCCGGGCGCAAGCCCUUUGCGAAAGUGGUGCUAAUACUCGAUGAAGUCGGUGAGUCGCCUGGCUCGCCGAUCAAAGGUGGGGACCGCAAGGCCUACCGGUUUGAGAUCGGUCUAUGUCCUAUCAGCUAGUUGGUGGGGUAAUGGCCCACCAAGGCGAAGACGGGUAGCCGGACUGAGAGGUCGGACGGCCACAUCGGGACUGAGACACUGCCCGGACACCUACGGGUGGCUGCAGCAACGAAUCUUCCGCAAUGGGCGAAAGCCUGACGGAGCAAUGCCGCGUGCAGGAUGAAGCUCUUCGGGGUGUAAACUGCUGUGAGGGUUUCGCAAGCAACCAUGGUAAAUAAUCAUGGAAGUUGAGCAGACCCAGAGGAAGCCUCGACUAACUCUGUGCCAGCAGUCGCGGUAAUACAGAGGAGGCAAGCGUUACUCGGAAUCAUUGGGCUUAAAGCGCACGUAGGUGGCUCGGUAAGUGUUACGUGAAAUCUCGCGGCUCAACCGCGGAACUGCGCGACAUACUGUCGGGCUUGAGGCCGGUAGAGGUGUCUGGAACUCCAGGUGGAGCGGUGAAAUGCGUAGAUAUCUGGAGGAACGCCAAAUGCGAAAGCAGACACUGGGCCGGUCUGACACUGAGGUGCGAAAGCGUGGGGAUCAAACAGGAUUAGAUACCCUGGUAGUCCACGCCCUAAACGAUGCACACUAAACGUCGGCGGUUCUGACAUCGCCGGCGUCGGAGCGAAAGUGCUAAUUGUGCGCCUGGGGAGUACGGCCGCAGGCUAAACUCAAGGAAUUGACGGGGGCUCCCCAGCGGUGGAGCCCGUUGCUUAUUCAAGCACCCGAAAACCUUACCCGGGUUGACUGCAAACGCCUCACGGGAUAACUCAGAAGUCGCCCCAAGGUAAGCUGGCCAGUGUUGCAUGGCUGCCUCACCUCUGCUUGUAAGUUCGGUUAAUUCCUUACAAGCAAAUCCCG